This 401-nucleotide ribosomal RNA is filed under the name Staphylococcus aureus. Its description in RNAcentral is "partial 23S ribosomal RNA". It matches the Rfam family "Bacterial large subunit ribosomal RNA", at positions 1284 to 1681 of the family's 2925-position model. The record is from RNAcentral. Lineage: Bacteria; Bacillati; Bacillota; Bacilli; Caryophanales; Staphylococcaceae.
AGAAGUGAGAAUGCCGGUGUGAGUAGCGAAAGACGGGUGAGAAUCCCGUCCACCGAUUGACUAAGGUUUCCAGAGGAAGGCUCGUCCGCUCUGGGUUAGUCGGGUCCUAAGCUGAGGCCGACAGGCGUAGGCGAUGGAUAACAGGUUGAUAUUCCUGUACCACCUAUAAUCGUUUUAAUCGAUGGGGGGACGCAGUAGGAUAGGCGAAGCGUGCGAUUGGAUUGCACGUCUAAGCAGUAAGGCUGAGUAUUAGGCAAAUCCGGUACUCGUUAAGGCUGAGCUGUGAUGGGGAGAAGACAUUGUGUCUUCGAGUCGUUGAUUUCACACUGCCGAGAAAAGCCUCUAGAUAGAAAAUAGGUGCCCGUACCGCAAACCGACACAGGUAGUCAAGAUGAGAAUUC